AGUGAACGCUGGCGGUAGGCCUAACACAUGCAAGUCGAACGGCAGCACAGUAAGAGCUUGCUCUUACGGGUGGCGAGUGGCGGACGGGUGAGGAAUACAUCGGAAUCUACUUUUUCGUGGGGGAUAACGUAGGGAAACUUACGCUAAUACCGCAUACGACCUACGGGUGAAAGCAGGGGAUCUUCGGACCUUGCGCGAUUGAAUGAGCCGAUGUCGGAUUAGCUAGUUGGCGGGGUAAAGGCCCACCAAGGCGACGAUCCGUAGCUGGUCGGAGAGGAUGAUCAGCCACACUGGAACGGAGACACGGUCCAGACUCCUACGGGAGGCAGCAGUGGGGAAUAUUGGACAAUGGGCGCAAGCCUGAUCCAGCCAUACCGCGUGGGUGAAGAAGGCCUUCGGGUUGUAAAGCCCUUUUGUUGGGAAAGAAAAGCAGCAGGUUAAUACCCCGCUGUUCUGACGGUACCCAAAGAAUAAGCACCGGCUAACUUCGUG
RNAcentral lists this ribosomal RNA (492 nucleotides) under uncultured bacterium. Its description in RNAcentral is "partial 16S ribosomal RNA". It matches the Rfam family "Bacterial small subunit ribosomal RNA", at positions 29 to 507 of the family's 1533-position model. The record is from RNAcentral.